RNAcentral lists this ribosomal RNA (478 nucleotides) under uncultured bacterium. RNAcentral describes it as "partial 16S ribosomal RNA". It matches the Rfam family "Bacterial small subunit ribosomal RNA", at positions 28 to 523 of the family's 1533-position model. The record is from RNAcentral.
GACGAACGCUGGCGGCGUGCUUAACACAUGCAAGUCGAGCGAUGAAGUUCCUUCGGGAAUGGAUUAGCGGCGGACGGGUGAGUAACACGUGGGUAACCUGCCUAAUAGAGGGGAAUAGCCUUCCGAAAGGAAGAUUAAUACCGCAUAAGAUUGUAGUACCGCAUGGCAUAGCAAUUAAAGGAGCAAUCCGCUAUGAGAUGGACCCGCGUCGCAUUAGCUAGUUGGUGAGGUAACGGCUACCCAAGGCGACGAUGCGUAGCCUACCUGAGAGGGUGAUCGGCCACAUUGGGACUGAGACACGGCCCAGACUCCUACGGGAGGCAGCAGUGGGGAAUAUUGCACAAUGGGGGAAACCCUGAUGCAGCAACGCCGCGUGAGUGAUGACGGUCUUCGGAUUGUAAAACUCUGUCUUCAGGGACGAUAAUGACGGUACCUGAGGAGGAAGCCACGGCUAACUACGUGCCAGCCGCCGCGGUAA